Molecule: ribosomal RNA, 253 nt
Filed under: uncultured bacterium
Lineage: Bacteria
Description: partial 16S ribosomal RNA
Rfam family: Bacterial small subunit ribosomal RNA
Source: RNAcentral
UACGUAGGUGGCAAGCGUUGUCCGGAUUUACUGGGCGUAAAGGGCGUGCAGGCGGUCUGUUAAGUCUGGGGUGAAAGCUCCCGGCUCAACUGGGAGAGGUCCUUGGAUACUGGCGGACUUGAGGGAGGCAGAGGAAAGUGGAAUUCCCGGUGUAGUGGUGAUAUGCGUAGAUAUCGGGAGGAACACCAGUGGCGAAGGCGGCUUUCUGGGCCUUACCUGACGCUGAGACGCGAAAGCGUGGGGAGCGAACCGG